Molecule: ribosomal RNA, 440 nt
Filed under: uncultured bacterium
Lineage: Bacteria
Description: partial 16S ribosomal RNA
Rfam family: Bacterial small subunit ribosomal RNA
Source: RNAcentral
CCUACGGGUGGCAGCAGUGGGGGAUAUUGCACAAUGGGGGAAACCCUGAUGCAGCGACGCCGCGUGGGUGAAGAAGCGCCUCGGCGCGUAAAGCCCUGUCAGCAGGGAAGAAAAUGACGGUACCUGAAGAAGAAGCCCCGGCUAACUACGUGCCAGCAGCCGCGGUAAUACGUAGGGGGCAAGCGUUAUACGGAUGUACUGGGUGUAAAGGGGGCGCAGACGGCGAUGCAAGCCAGGAGUGAAAUCCCGGGGCCCAACCCCGGGACUGCUCUUGGAACUGGGUGGCUAGAGUGCAGGAGGGGCAGGCGGAAUUCCUGGUGUAGCGGUGAAAUGCGUAGAGAUCAGGAGGAACACCGGUGGCGACGGCGGCCUGCUGGACUGCAACUGACGUUGAGGCCCGAAAGCGUGGGGAGCAAACAGGAUUAGAUACCCUGGUAGUC